UUUCUGCCCAAACAGUUUUUUAAGUCCCUGGACCAGAUGGUUUCUUCUUUUUUGUGGAAUGGAAGGGCCCCUAGACUGAGGCUCUCUUUAUUACAACAGUUUACCUCUAAUGGGGGUCUUUCCCUAACAAAUUUUUUAAUGUACUAUUGGUCUUCGCAUAUUCAUAAGCUGACCUACUGGCUAAAUUCGCCUAACCUGAUUUGGUGUAAACUUGAAAUUCAAUCAAUUUCUCCAUAUUUUUCACCUGCCUCCCUUAUCUAUUCAUCACUGCCUGUUAAAACAUCUUCUGUUGCUUCAAAUCCCGUAGUGCUCUCUACACUUAAGAUAUGGUUUCAGUUCAGGUCGCAUUUUAAAUUCAUAUCCCCUCUACCAGAUUACCAUUGUUAAGGAAUCAUCUAUUUUCCCCUGCCACUACCAACGCCGCCUAUUUGACGUGGCACGAAAGAGGCAUAAAGACCAUGAGAGCCCUUUACAAAGGUGAUGUCUUUCUUAGUGUCACGGUCCCCGUGUCUCCCUGGUUGGCUCACGCUGGCUACAGGUUUUGUUGUUGUUCUUUUUUUGUUUUUUGUUUUCUUUGUCUCUCCUCCUCCUCUCUGCCUGGGUGGAGCUCGUUACGGGCUCUCGCUCUUGGCCCACGCACCUGUGUGAUUGUCUCCACCUGCUGUUGAUCUGGCUGAUUUCCCCAGCUGCUAUUUAAGGCAGUGGCACAGAGCAGCUCACCGCUGGAACGUUGAACCUCCUGAAUAUCCCUCUUCUGGACCAAAUCACGGGACCUGCCUGGGUGUGGCAGCGUGUGUGGAGUUUUGGAGCGAGUGCGGCUGAAGAGGAGUGCGUGUGUGUGGAGGAGCUGUGGCGGUGACUGUGUGGAAGAGGAAGCGUGUGUGUGGAUUUCCCCCCUUCUCUCCCUGGAGCCCUGGACCCCCCCUCCCAACUCACUGUACAUGUAUAUAGCACUGAGGUGAUCCCCUGUUGUAAAUAAAUACUCUCCUUUUGUUCACAAAGACAGAACUGUCUGCGCGUGAGUCCGUCCAGUAGCCAUGACACUUAGUUUCUCAGAGCUAUCCUCAAAAUUUAACCUACCUCCCACUCACUUGUUUCUCUAUUUACAAAUUAGACACUGUGUCUCAUCACUGUUUCCAAAUUUCCCAAUUCUCCCUGCUGAUCCUCCAUGGGUUGACCUUCUGCUUGUUAGGCCUAAUCAAAAAU
Molecule: long non-coding RNA, 1206 nt
Organism: Oreochromis aureus
Lineage: Eukaryota; Metazoa; Chordata; Actinopteri; Cichliformes; Cichlidae
Source: Ensembl